AUCCCUUGAAAGAAGCUUCAAGCUCAAAACUUGGGCAUUACCAAAUCAAUAAGUUGGUGUCACGUUGCCAGUGACAACGGUUACUGCAUUAAAAAAUAUAUAUAUAUGCCCUCACACUCUCAAAGGAUUAUAUAAAGCAGCUUUGAAGGUUUCAGCCGUUGUAGCCCUCUUUCUCUUUUGGAAUCCUUGUAAAAGAAGACUCGGCGACUCAAAAUAGAAUCUUUAACAGCAUUUUAAUUUUCUUCCAGAAAUUAAGCCCAUGAUUCUCCAGCAUUUACCCAUGAUACGGUAAUUAACAAUAUAAUGACAGAAAUAAAUAGCCAGUAAGAAAAAUAAAACGCCUCAUUUGAACAGCCAAUCCAUCAUUAUUAGAGUUAAUAAUAUUGGAUUACUUACUAGGUAGCUGAUGAUUUUCUCGUGCUACCCACCGAAUCUUUGACAGAUAACGCCACAAUGACUCACAUGAAUCCACCAUGAAACCCUAGAAUCUUGAGAUAAAUCAUGAUUCACUUCGAGGGAAGAUCACGAACACUCACAGCGAAACAAUGCAAGUAGGUGACUGGCAGGGUAAAAAAUCAAAACUUUUUCAAUUCCCUUGUAAAUUGAACUAGCAGCAUUUGGAUUAAAACCCCAGCACUCAAAGAGCCGUGGCUGACCAGCGCAAAUACUUGCUUCUGAUUUGAUAAUGAUAAUGAUAAUGGAUCCAAAGGCUUAAUGGGUAAUACAAGUAAAGGUGAAAACUUUUUACUUGAUACGAAAUUUUGAGGGGAAAAAAGAAGGAACUCGUAAUGAGAAAUGGAGAAUAUAAGAGAGGAGAUAAGCUUUGGCUGCUAAGAGUAGAUGCGGGGCAGUGGUAGAGACUAGAGUGAAAAGAGAGAAGAAGACAGAAGAAAGAGAAUGAGAGAGAGAGAGAGAGAGAGAGAGAGAAAAGAAAAAAAGAAAAAAAAAGUUUGAGAAAAUGGCUUUUGCCAACUAUAUAUAAAUGCUUCUCUCAUUUACAGCUAGCUAGUCAGCCAAACAGGUCGCUGAAUACUCUUAAACCCCACAUGCCCUUCUCUUGUCCUUCCCCUUUUGCCCCUGCAUUUCUUCCAAAAACACCAGUCUCUCAUUUUGCCCGCAGUAAAAGGGGGGACAAUGUUAAUCAUACUAUGAGUAAAUCAUAUUUACGUUAUGUUAUACCAUCACGCCGUGUUCCACUUAACGAAUGUGUCUUUCAUCAUAACGUAUUCUUAUUUUUAUAAUAAUGAUAUAGUUAGCAAUAUUAUCAAUGUUAUAAUAAUCUGCGUUGUCAUAUAAUACAAUACAAUUAAAUACAAUAUUUCUGUCCAUUUACAACUUUCACGUGUUUGUGAAAUUCAUUAUUAUAUAUUAACUUUUAAAAUUAUUAUUUCAUAAAAUACUGUUUAAUUCAUUUUUUAAAAAAAAAAAAAUUGAAUUGAGAUUGAUUGAUGUUCAAUUGAUAAUAGAUUUACAAACUUUAUUACCUUACAUUAGGCGUUGCGCACAUCAAAGAAAUUAAUAAGUUAACCACCACUUUUUCACCAUAUUUCACAACUCCUCUUUUACUGUUUAUUAUAUUUCCAAAUGUUCGAUUAAAUUUAACGACUCUUCUUCGACUAAUGUUUGUUAUCCCAUCAUGUAAAUUGACCAUAGCCUCGAUUUAUGUUAGCGUGUUAAUUUUUUUUGGUUGAUUUUGUCUUUUUUGUGCACUUGUUCAAUUUUCAAAUAGAUUUCAACAGUCGCACCAAGCCUAAUUAAUUUUUUUUUUCCUAGUAAUAUUGAAAAUUAAAUAAGUUGAUUUUGAUACUGGUAAUAUUGAGUUUUUCUUUAAAGCUGUAAUUUGAGUUUAUUAUCGCAAUUUUACUAAUCAUCAAACACGUGAUGAUGUGAAAACCCUUUUGUUCUCUAAUUUUGAAAGUUGACAUUCUCAAUUGCCGACGAAAUAGUUGCACAAAUAAUAUAUAAUAGACAAAUGCUCCUUUCAAAAUCAGUGAACAAAUUGAAGGUCUCUAUCAUCGAAAUUUUUAACCUCACAAUUACAUAAUUAUAUAUAUAUAUAUAUAAAUGCUCAUUAAUUAGAAAAAAUGAACAAGUCUUUAAGAACUUGUGCCUUUCAAAAAACAUUCCCAACAAAUUUAGCAGAAAAGGAAUUCUCAAAUCAUCUAUCUUCUUUUUCUUUAUGUGGCUACCUAUAAAAUUAAAAAAAAUAAAUAAAUAAAUAAAAACUACAAUUGCCAGCCCAUUUAUCUGACUCGUCCCUGCAAUCAUUCCUGUUGGUCCACACUUGCCAAAGCACGCCAUUUGCACGUGCCUCCCAUGUGAUUGUCGCCAUAAUGAUUGUUUUGGUAACUUCCCCCUGCAACAAUCCGAGUAGAUACCGUUUGACCCUGAUUAAGAUUUUAUGUAAUCCGUUUAAAUUAUAAAUUGAUUAAAUUCUAUCUAAAUGGAUUAAUGUUAAUCUCUUUUUAUGAUUUACACCUAUCGGAUUAUGAUUUUAUAUUAUUUUUCUUUUUAAAAAUUUAUCCAAUAAAUGUUAUCGAUGCUUUCUUGAGAUAUAUUUUAACAAAUUAGACACACGUGGAUAGAGUCAAGAAAAAGAAAAACAAAGCAAUUCUUUUUUUUUUUUAAGUUUUUCAACUCCUGAGAUGAAUAUCUAUGUAGACAUAAAAACACAAUAAUUUAGUAAAUUUUUUUAAUAAUGUUAAUGAUUUCAAUUUGAUUCUCAACUUAAGUCCCAAUAUACACGUCACUUUAUCCAAUAGAUGAUAACAUUGAUAACUUAUAAAAUUAAUAUUCCAUUUAAAAGAUGAAUACCACAUCAAUUAAGACUUAAAUAUUGAAAUCAUUAUACUUACACAAAAAUUUUAGUCGAAUAUAUGUAUGCAAAUGAUUUCAUUUUACGAGAGAACUCAACUUUGUAUACUAAUUAGUGUUGAGUGCUUAUAUUGUUUGGGUGGGACUUGCGAGGGCUUUAUCUCAUCCGAUUUUAAUUUUAUUUAUUUCUUGUUGGAUCUAUCACAUUCAAUAUUACAAUUCGAAUUGAUUUGUCGUAUUAAAGUAAACCAAUAUGACCCAUUUAUUAUUCAUAUGAAAAAGUACAAACAAAAUCAACACAAUUAUUGAACAAGUGUAGUGGUGACACAAAUUUAACAUAUUUUAAAGAUAUCAUUACAUAUGGUGCAUAAUAUUUUGGUACUGCCUAUUCAAUCUCUCAUCGUACCUUACUCCAAAUUUACACAUGCACUUUCUAAUUAUUUAGUAGAACAAAUAUCAUAUUAUUAUACUGAAUUCAAAACACAUUAACGAAAUACAUUUACUCCAAAGAACUCCAAAUAUGAACCAAAUAUAGUUAGAUAAACAGGGUAACUUGAAUAUGAUACAAUUAACCAUGUAUAGAUUGACGUAUGCUAUUACAAUACUGCAACUGAUACUUUCCUUAUACAAUUACAUUUAUAAUUCGGACUAAUUCUACGUAAUGUAAAACAAGACAAUACUAAAUAUAAUUUUGUAUAAUUAAAUUGAGUUCAAUUCAAUUCAAUCCAACGUGUUAAAAUUGCGUUACGAGGACCAAAUUGACCCCUCCAUCGAGUGGUACCACUAUUAAAUGCUAAAAUACGCACUUUUAAUACUCGGGGGAAAUACAACAACUAUAGAAAAAGGACCCAUGUCUUUUGGUACUUAACAAGACCAACCAAGGCUCGUGACAAAAGCGUCGCCGCUUCGCUCGCUAGCAAGUAUACGAUUAUUCAACUUAUUCGUGCACUGUGCUCGAAUGGCCUCUUUGUUCUUUGCUGUCUUUCGGGUCCACUUUCAUCUGUCGUUAACAUUUUGCAAUACCAACUUCCUCACAUUCAUAAUAAAUUAUAACUUUUUAGUGUUAAACAAAUAGCUAUGGUGAUGGGUUGAUUUGUUUGGCUGCUAAAAAAAAAAAAAAGAGAAAAAAAAAGUCUCCCUCUAAAUGAUUCCACAAUCUAUGCGACUCUUUUUGUCUUUGUAUUGAAUGUAUUGAUGGCAUGGGAGCAAAGUUCCCCAUUUUCACAUUGUGAAAUUGACCUUUACUUUUAUUACGUGUUGAUUGUCAUCACACAACCGUCACAGCUCACGACACAAGCUAGCUUUGGGGUAAUUGUCAAAACUUUUUACAUUUGUGUGCAUUUGAUACCUUCUUUAGUGGUGAGAAUCGGUAGUGAUUUCUAAUUUUCUACAACACAUAUACAAGACUGCCCACUCCCAUCUCUUUGAAUAAAUGGCUUCAGCCUAAUUGGGGUCAAUGAUUUUAGUUGAAUUGGUAAGAUACGGGAUGGUUCCAUUUUUGUAGUUAAGUAAUGCAUUCGGAAGUAGGCAAUGUACCCAAAGCUUAAAAACAUGCUAAAAAUCUCAAUCUAAAUCCUUUUUUUCAGUGAAAAAUCGAUGUAUCAGCGUACCUGACCGACCUACUUCAGCUAAAGAGAUAAAUCCUCUCUGUACAGACAAGCUGAUUAACAUGUCAUGGAUAUACAUGUUAGUGCAACAAAAGUUGCACUAAAUGAAACAUAAUUUUGAAUGAUAUGAUAAAACAAAUAGCAAGGAAAAAAAUGUGAAUAAACAAAAUGAUAAUAAAACAUUAAUCUCAAAUCAUUUGUGUGGGUGCUAAUUGGGUUAAUUAGUUAAAUAUUAUGUGGAUCCCAUACUAUUAUAGAUGUUGGUGAUGAUAUUUUUUUUCCAAAACUUUUGCAAUAACAUAUGAACGCAUAAUUCUACACUUGUUGAGUUGAAAUACUCAUCGACUAGAUUGUAAGAUGGAAUUACUAAAUAAUUUGACAGGUAUGAAAUUAUAAUACCCGCUACAUGAAUGUCGUUUUAAUGUCUGAUAUGAAAAUGGUGAGAUACUAUUAGAGAACUGAGAUAUACUAUAUAAAUAUACUGAUACCUUGGCACCUUUUUACAUUAAAAGGGCAAAAAAAAAAAACUCGUAUUUUGUAAAUGCACAAUCAUCUGUAUACAUUAAUUAAUUUAAAUUUGUAUGUGAAUCUCGAAGGUGUACUGGACUGACCGAAACCGAAAGUCAUUACAGAGAGUAGGCCCAAUAGAACUAGGCCGAACAUGAGGUCCAUUUGAUUGUUGGGUCAAUAUAUAUACUGGACUUUACCAUUAAUUUGGUCGGUAGAGGGUUAUAGCUGACGAGCUCAACGAGAGUGGGACCAAUCACAAUUAAAACAAGUUGGUAUUAUUUUGUCUUUCAUUUGGUCCUCUCUCUCUCUCUCUCUAUAUUUUCCUCGCGCUCGCCAAGCCAAUAGAGCCAAAAAGGAAAGAAGAGCGGAAACACCGAACACCAUAACAAACACUAGUAAUGACAACAACACCAACAAUGCUAAUCCACCCACAACAGACCCAACAAUUAUCCAGACCUUUGAAUUACUCCUUUCCUUUACUCGGUGGUGGUGGUGGGAAACCUGGUGGUGGUCUUGGGGCAAUGGAUUCAACUACUAUAGAGAAAUGCCCCUGUUGGACAGUUAAACAUGUGUUGCCUGAUACUACAUUGCUGAAGUUUACCAAACCAUGUAAAUCAAACCAAACACACUUGGGAACAGACCCAUCAGGAGCCGGCAUCACAUCUUGGAAUUCAAUCGAUAUGGGGUCACCAGAUGCCCUAAUAUCCAAUUCUGGCAAAUUCUUAGCUGAUAAAUCUGAAGCAUCAUAUGCAAGAAGACCAAGAACAGGAGCCAAGUAAGUGUAUUUGGAUAAUGGAUAAUAUGUACCAGACCAAUUGCCCAAAUUCUGGUACACCAAAACAAGCCUUUCGACAUAGGGGCUCUCAAUAACCCCCAUAGGAAUACGAAACUCUUUGUACAUAUUCACACCUCUAUGUCUUAAGCUGCCACUCCUGAGCCUCAUUGCUGCAAUCUUAAUCCCAGUCAAAUUUGAAGGAACAACCCCUUCAACGGGAAUACCGGUGCUGGGACGAACAAAAGCUCUAUAAGCAUAGUCUUGGAGAAGGGCAUCAAGAGCAGGAGCAGAGCCAGAUUGAGCCACAACAUGCAGUGAAAGAAAGGAAAACAAUGUCAUAGAAACAAGCAUUGCCAGACUUCGAAGAAGCCCCAUCGAUGCUUUUCAAUCCUCCAACUUGCCAAUCAAAUUAACCUUGUAACACUCCAGUGAAAUAUUCAAUACCCACAAAGACUAUAUUAACAAAAUUCCAACACCAACUUAAAUACCUAAGAUCCAAAUCAAACAAUAACAGAAAUGCAGACGGAUAAAUGCGGCAAAUUCCUUGAAAGAAGCUUCAAGCUCAAAACUUGGGCAUUACCAAAUCAAUAAGUUGGUGUCACGUUGCCAGUGACAACGGUUACUGCAUUAAAAUAUAUAUAUAUAUGCCCUCACACUCUCAGAGGAUUAUGUAAAGCAGCUUUGAAGGUUUCAGCCGUUGUAGCCCUCUUUCUCUUUUGGAAUCCUUGUAAAAGAAGACUCGGUGACUCAAAAUAGAAUCUUUAACAGCAUUUUAAUUUUCUCCCAGAAAUUAAGCCCAUGAUUCUCCAGCAUUUACCCAUGAUACGGUAAUUAACAAUAUAAUGACAGAAAUAAAUAGCCAGUAAGAAAAAUAAAACGCCUCAUUUGAACAGCCAAUCCAUCAUUAUUAGAGUUAAUAAUAUUGGAUUACUUACUAGGUAGCUGAUGAUUUUCUCGUGCUACCCACCGAAUCUUUGACAGAUAACGCUGCUGUACCGUACAUCCGCCUUGGCCGUACAGCAGGCAAGUGUGAUUUUACCAAAAUAAUUUAAAAAAUUUUUUUACCAAACACUAAAAUUAAUUUUUAAUUUUUUACAAUCACUUUAAGUCUUCAAAGAUAAACCCUAAUUUGCCCUUAAGUUGGGCACCAUAUUUCAUUUUGGUUCAUGAUUUGAUUUGAUUUCAUAAUUCGCUAGCUAGAUCAUCUAAAGAACAUGGUCCCCAACCAUAUAGAAUCUCAAAAUUGGACUCAUCUGCCCUAUUUUUAUUAGUAAGCAAGUGUGAUUUUACCAAAAUAAUUUAAAAAAUUUUUUUACCAAACACUAAAAUUAAUUUUUAAUUUUUUACAAUCACUUUAAGUCUUCAAAGAUAAACCCUAAUUUGCCCUUAAGUUGGGCACCAUAUUUCAUUUUGGUUCAUGAUUUGAUUUGAUUUCAUAAUUCGCUAGCUAGAUCAUCUAAAGAACAUGGUCCCCAACCAUAUAGAAUCUCAAAAUUGGACUCAUCUGCCCUAUUUUUAUUAGUAAGCAAGUGUGAUUUUACCAAAAUAAUUUAAAAAAUUUUUUUACCAAACACUAAAAUUAAUUUUUAAUUUUUUACAAUCACUUUAAGUCUUCAAAGAUAAACCCUAAUUUGCCCUUAAGUUGGGCACCAUAUUUCAUUUUGGUUCAUGAUUUGAUUUGAUUUCAUAAUUCGCUAGCUAGAUCAUCUAAAGAACAUGGUCCCCAACCAUAUAGAAUCUCAAAAUUGGACUCAUCUGCCCUAUUUUUAUUAGUAAGCAAGUGUGAUUUUACCAAAAUAAUUUAAAAAAUUUUUUUACCAAACACUAAAAUUAAUUUUUAAUUUUUUACAAUCACUUUAAGUCUUCAAAGAUAAACCCUAUAAAGCAGCUUUGAAGGUUUCAGCCGUUGUAGCCCUCUUUCUCUUUUGGAAUCCUUGUAAAAGAAGACUCGGUGACUCAAAAUAGAAUCUUUAACAGCAUUUUAAUUUUCUCCCAGAAAUUAAGCCCAUGAUUCUCCAGCAUUUACCCAUGAUACGGUAAUUAACAAUAUAAUGACAGAAAUAAAUAGCCAGUAAGAAAAAUAAAACGCCUCAUUUGAACAGCAAUCCAUCAUUAUUAGAGUUAAUAAUAUUGGAUUACUUACUAGGUAGCUGAUGAUUUUCUCGUGCUACCCACCGAAUCUUUGACAGAUAACGCCACAAUGACUCACAUGAAUCCACCGUGAAACCCUAGAAUCUUGAGAUAAAUCAUGAUUCACUUCGAGGCAAGAUCACGAACACUCACAGCGAAACAAUGCAAGUAGGUGACUGGCAGCGUAAAAAAUCAAAACUUUUUCAAUUCCCUUGUAAAUUGAACUAGCAGCAUUUGGAUUAAAACCCCAGCACUCAAAGAGCCGUGGCCGAUGGGCACAAAUACUUGCUUCUGAUUUGAUAAUGGAUCCAAAGGCUUAAUGGGUAAUACAAGUAAAGGAGAAAACUUUUUACUUUAAACGAAAUUUUGAGGGGAAAAAAGACGGAACUCGGUAAUGAGAAAUGGGGAAUAUAAGAGAGGAGAUAAGCUUUGGCUGCUAAGUUAGGAUCUAAUAGUAUGCAUCACCUAUAGAGAGUUGACUACCACUCGUGCUCUAGAGCCAUCGAGAAAUUUGUAGGGGUGGCAAACAGCGGGUUUG
This 8374-nucleotide long non-coding RNA is filed under the name Citrus sinensis (sweet orange). Its description in RNAcentral is "long non-coding RNA (CSIN_LNC002615)". The record is from RNAcentral. Lineage: Eukaryota; Viridiplantae; Streptophyta; Magnoliopsida; Sapindales; Rutaceae.